Molecule: unclassified non-coding RNA, 328 nt
Filed under: soil metagenome
Description: partial contains 5.8S ribosomal RNA, internal transcribed spacer 2, and large subunit ribosomal RNA
Rfam family: 5.8S ribosomal RNA (bases 1-120)
Source: RNAcentral
GAUGAAGAACGCAGCGAAAUGCGAUAAGUAGUGUGAAUUGCAGAAUUCAGUGAAUCAUCGAAUCUUUGAACGCACAUUGCGCCCCUUGGUAUCCCGAGGGGCAUGCCUGUUCGAGCGUCAUUUCACCACUCAAGCCUGGCUUGGUGUUGGGCGACGUCCCCUUUGGGGACGCGCCUCGAAACGCUCGGCGGCGUGGCACCGGCUUUAAGCGUAGCAGAAUCUUUCGCUUUGGAAGUCGGGGCCCCGUCUGCCGGAAGACCUACUCGCAAGGUUGACCUCGGAUCAGGCAGGGAUACCCGCUGAACUUAAGCAUAUCAAUAACGGAGGA